ACCUGGGACACGGAGGUUGCAGUGAGACGAGAUUGCCCCAUCGCACUCCAGCCUGCAACAGAGCGAGACUCCUUAACAAGGGAGGCUAUUCUGACACCUGCUACCAUGUGGAAGAAGCUUGACAAUAUUGACCAAUCAGCCAGACACAGAAAGACAAGUCCUGUGUGAUUCCACUUCGAGGAGGUCCCUCGAGUCACCAGAGUCACAGAGACAGAAAGUAUAACGCAGCAGCGUACACUGCCCAGCCCGGGCUUCGUUUCCACUUUCUGUGACCUGGUGUGGCGGUGAGUCUUACUCAGCGUGCUUGAGCCGAAAUGUCACCAGCUGCCCGCCGACCUGGGAUGACACCUUGGGCCGUUCUGUUUUCUCCCGUUCACCGGUCAAGACGCUGAAACUCGGGAGCUUUUGGCGGCCGAGCUGCGUGAAGGGACUUCAAGAGACGAGGAGACGGACCCCGUGGAAACCUCUCCCACCUGGCGAUUGUAGGGGAAGGAGCUUCUAUUCUUGACCCAGCCCACGACACGUGCCGGGGCUGUCAGCGCCGUGAGAGGCACCUGUGUCUCCCCGAGCUGAGGACGGAUGACAUUUGUACCUACAGGGGUAAAAAAAGAUAAAGCAAACACGGAACAGCACACUCCUCCCGGCCUUCCUUCUUCUGACACCGUUUUCCUUUAGAAGAUCUGAAACUACAAGUCAGGACAUGACACGUGGAGCGUCCCAGGCACGCGCAGCCUCUGCUGUUUGAUUUCCGACGUGAGUCUAUAGCAAGAAGGUUGCCGUCUGCAAGCCAGGAAGGGAGUCCUCACCAGGAGCUGAGAUGUUGCUACUUUGAUCUUGGACCUCCAGUCUUCAUAUAGAGUUUCACCCUUGUCGCUCAGGCUGGCGUGCA
RNAcentral lists this long non-coding RNA (889 nucleotides) under Homo sapiens (human). RNAcentral's name for it is "HSALNT0406790". The record is from RNAcentral. Lineage: Eukaryota; Metazoa; Chordata; Mammalia; Primates; Hominidae.